GGAACAACAGGAGGCCGUUUGAUAAUGAAGAGCCAGGAGAAUAUGCCAAUAGGUGUGCAGUUCAGUGGCACAGAGUCUCGGUCUAUCCAGAGAGAUUGGGGGAAAUGGCCGUGAAGAAUAUCGUUCCAGGUUCAAUUUUGUAUGUGGAGGGUAACCUUGAAACAAAAAUCUUCACUGAUCCUAUCACCGGUCUUGUACGGCGCAUACGAGAGAUUGCUAUACGAAAAAAUGGUCGUCUGGUUUUCCUUGGGAAUGGAGGGAAUGAAGGCCCACGGCAAUCACAAGCAGAAAUAAAAGGGGUUGGUUAUUACUAAAAGUGGGCAGGCAGGCUUGCAGUGACAGCAACUGAAUCUUAACGUCCAUAUAUUUUUGUCGAGUUGACUUUAUCAUUUUCCUCAUUAAUCCUAGGAGGAGUGGUUGUAUUCUGAUAAUUUGUCAC
Molecule: unclassified non-coding RNA, 439 nt
Filed under: Hevea brasiliensis (rubber tree)
Lineage: Eukaryota; Viridiplantae; Streptophyta; Magnoliopsida; Malpighiales; Euphorbiaceae
Source: RNAcentral